GAGGACAAUAGAAGAGAAUCCUCAUCUUGAACACGAGCACCUUUCGGUUUCAAACAAAACAACACCAUCUGAUAUACAAGUUACUAGCCCCGCUAUGCUACGUGAUAAAACACGAGUUGAGGAACAGCCCAAGCAUGAGCAAGGUGAACAACAACCAAAGCGCGAUCACCAUAAAAGAAAUGAAGAUGCUGUUGCUGCUGCAAAAGAGCGCUUUUUGGCUCGAAAAAGAGCAAAGGAGGUGUGAAAUACUUGUUGAGCUAGAUUAAAC
This 268-nucleotide unclassified non-coding RNA is filed under the name Hevea brasiliensis (rubber tree). Lineage: Eukaryota; Viridiplantae; Streptophyta; Magnoliopsida; Malpighiales; Euphorbiaceae. The record is from RNAcentral.